UGUCUUUUAAAUGAAGACCUGUAUGAAUGGCAUAACGAGGGCUUAACUGUCUCCUCCCCCCAGUCAAUGAAAUUGAUCUCCCCGUGCAGAAGCGGGGAUAACAACACAAGACGAGAAGACCCUGUGGAGCUUAAAAUCACGAACAGACCAUGUCAAGAAUAACAAACAAGAACAUCAAACAAAUUGGCCACUGUUUAUGUAUUUUUGGUUGGGGCGACCGCGGGGUAAUAAAUAACCCCCAUGUGGACUAAGAAAACAUUCUUAAAACUAAGAGCCCCCGCUCUAAGUAGCAGAACUUCUGACCUUAAUGAUCCGGCCUGGCCGAUCAACGAACCCAGUUACCCCAGGGAUAACAGCGCAAUCCUCUUCUAGAGCCCAUAUCGACAAGAGGGUUUACGACCUCGAUGUUGGAUCAGGACAUCCUAAUGGUGUAGCCGCUAUUAAGGGUUUGUUUGUUCAACAAUUAAAGU
This 470-nucleotide ribosomal RNA is filed under the name Oryzias celebensis (Celebes medaka). RNAcentral describes it as "partial 16S ribosomal RNA". It matches the Rfam family "Bacterial large subunit ribosomal RNA", at positions 1970 to 2594 of the family's 2925-position model. Lineage: Eukaryota; Metazoa; Chordata; Actinopteri; Beloniformes; Adrianichthyidae. The record is from RNAcentral.